CCGCUCCCGAGGCCGCCGCCGCCCUCUCCCUCCGGAAACGCAUUCCUCUCCCGCCGCGUCAGCCCGGCCCGGGGCUAGGAGGAGGCGGAGGAUGGGGCAGGAAGUGCGACCGGGACAAAGGAACCGGCUGCGCGGGAGCGCGCCUGAGGGAGGCCGCGGGGGGCAGGGCCGGGACUGCGUUGAGACAGUCGCCGUGCCUCAGUUUCCUCCUCUGCGAAGGGCGGGAGGAGUCGGACGCGCCCUAGAGCCCCGCGCGUUCCUGGUGUAGCCUGCUGGGCCCGUGUUCUUUAAGUUCCUCUUCCUCGGAGCCGCGCGUUCGACCCUCGCUCCCGUUUGUCCACUGAUGUCCCGUUUCGAGCCCGGGAGAUCCUGCAUCUCGGAAGCCCCCUGAGUCCCGAGGCAAAUCGGGACCGUGAGCCCCCCUACCCUGCAGGGCUCCAUGGGGCCAAAAACCACGUGGUCCUUCUGGAAGGGAACUGGCUAAGCCAGGACUGCUUUUCUGGAGUGAUAAUGUGCUUGCCUGUGUCUAAGAGAAAGGUGAAGAAUUGGGAAACCCAUGGGUGUCACGAAGGGUGGUGAGACUGGGGAACGUUUUAGAAAACCUGGUGAGUUGCGUCCUGCUUUUGAUAGAUUUAUCUGGAGGUACCUUUAUGGGGAACAGGGAUGAGAAGGAAAAGUUUCUUCCUAAGGAGUACAGUUUCUGUUUCACCUCUUAAAAAAAAAAAAUUUGGAGAUUGGGGCUGGAAACAACGUUUGAAAGAGAAGGAAACAUUCAUUAUGAGAAUGGCUGAACGCAUGUCGAUUCGAUGAUUGAAGUCUGUACCAGCCAAAAUCAUACUGAAACCCAGUAAUUUAGUAUAUGCUACUGGCAAGCUGCUAUCCUGGUAGCAGAAAAUGCUGUGGGUUCCGCUUGGUGAGCUGCAGCACCCUGUUGGGAAAAGAGCUCAAAAAUUACCAGAUUUAUGAAAUAGAAGUGUUUCUCUUGCAGGAGAUUAGGGACUGGAAUGCCCAUUUGGCUGCUGCCAAUCAAUAUAAGAGAAAAUGAAGCGAUCACAUCUAAGAAAAUUUGCUCAUUACUUACCAGCAAAAUCAAAACUUGAUUAGCCAAUCUGAAGACCUCUAGGAAAUGAGCACUAUUUUUCCCACUUAAUGGAUGUUCAAGCUUAAGAGGCUAAAUGAUGUUCCUAUAUUAAUAUCUCAAUGGUCAAACUGCCAUUAGAACUCAACAUUCUUGAAUUUUAAAGGUAUCGGUUUUACCAUUGUUCAGAAUUCAUCAGAAUUGGCCCAGUCUCAGCACAGAAAACUGUAUAGUUCAAAAGCAUAAUUGGUCCGUGCCUGAUUUGCACUACAAUUUCCAGAAUUUUUUUCCCUGUACGUGACUGGUGGAGGCACUAGCUAGUCUUUGCUACAAGAACAUUAUGAGAUUUACAUAUGCACAACUCUAAACUAAAUUAGUUCCUCCAGGACAAUUUACUGAGCUUUUUAACACCACCGUCAAGCACUGUUGCAAGGACAGAUAAUAGGGGCUCAGAUAAUAUCUGAUAAAUGAAUAAAUGGGUCCUUUUGCUCUCCCAGGACUGGGCUAGAGCACUUGACUAAACUGAUGUGUGAGGUAGCAAUUUGUGUACAGAAGUCA
RNAcentral lists this long non-coding RNA (1636 nucleotides) under Homo sapiens (human). RNAcentral's name for it is "non-protein coding ITGB1-DT:25". Lineage: Eukaryota; Metazoa; Chordata; Mammalia; Primates; Hominidae. The record is from RNAcentral.